UAGGGAAUCUUCGGCAAUGGGGGGAACCCUGACCGAGCAACGCCGCGUGAGUGAAGAAGGUUUUCGGAUCGUAAAGCUCUGUUGUUAAGGAAGAACGAGUGUGAGAAUGGAAAGUUCAUACUGUGACGGUACUUAACCAGAAAGGGACGGCUAACUACGUGCCAGCAGCCGCGGUAAUACGUAGGUCCCGAGCGUUGUCCGGAUUUAUUGGGCGUAAAGCGAGCGCAGGCGGUUAGAUAAGUCUGAAGUUAAAGGCAGUGGCUCAACCAUUGUAGGCUUUGGAAACUGUUUAACUUGAGUGCAGAAGGGGAGAGUGGAAUUCCAUGUGUAGCGGUGAAAUGCGUACAUAUAUGGAGGAACUCCGGUGGCGAAAGCGGCUAUCUGGUCUGUAACUGACGCUGAGGCUCGAAAGCGUGGGGAGCGAACAGG
This 429-nucleotide ribosomal RNA is filed under the name Bacteroidota bacterium. RNAcentral describes it as "Bacteroidetes bacterium partial 16S ribosomal RNA". It matches the Rfam family "Bacterial small subunit ribosomal RNA", at positions 355 to 776 of the family's 1533-position model. Lineage: Bacteria; Pseudomonadati; Bacteroidota. The record is from RNAcentral.